RNAcentral lists this transfer RNA (67 nucleotides) under Rastrelliger kanagurta (Indian mackerel). RNAcentral's name for it is "tRNA-Cys". The record is from RNAcentral. Lineage: Eukaryota; Metazoa; Chordata; Actinopteri; Scombriformes; Scombridae.
AGCCCUGAGGUGUUCGUCAUAUUAGAUUGCAAAUCUUAAGGAGCAGACUAACCGUCUGCCGGGGCUU